This 250-nucleotide ribosomal RNA is filed under the name uncultured bacterium. Its description in RNAcentral is "partial 16S ribosomal RNA". It matches the Rfam family "Bacterial small subunit ribosomal RNA", at positions 524 to 775 of the family's 1533-position model. The record is from RNAcentral.
UACGGAGGGUGCAAGCGUUAUCCGGAAUCAUUGGGUUUAAAGGGUCCGUAGGCGGGCUAUUAAGUCAGAGGUGAAAUCCCACAGCUUAACUGUGGAACUGCCUUUGAUACUGGUAGUCUUGAGUUAUAUGGAAGUAGAUAGAAUAUGUAGUGUAGCGGUGAAAUGCAUAGAUAUUACAUAGAAUACCAUAUGAAGGCAGAUUACUAAUAAUCAAUUGACACUGAUGGACGAAAGCGUGGGGAGCGAACAG